Molecule: ribosomal RNA, 1343 nt
Filed under: uncultured bacterium
Lineage: Bacteria
Description: 16S ribosomal RNA
Rfam family: Bacterial small subunit ribosomal RNA
Source: RNAcentral
GACGAACGCUUGCGGCGUGCUUAACACAUGCAAGUCGAACGGAAAGGCCCUGCUUUUGUGGGGUGCUCGAGUGGCGAACGGGUGAGUAACACGUGAGUAACCUGCCCUUGACUUUGGGAUAACCUCAGGAAACUGGGGCUAAUACCGGAUAGGAGCUCCUGCUGCAUGGUGGGGGUUGGAAAGUUUCGGCGGUUGGGGAUGGACUCGCGGCUUAUCAGCUUGUUGGUGGGGUAGUGGCUUACCAAGGCUUUGACGGGUAGCCGGCCUGAGAGGGUGACCGGCCACAUUGGGACUGAGAUACGGCCCAGACUCCUACGGGAGGCAGCAGUGGGGAAUAUUGCACAAUGGGCGGAAGCCUGAUGCAGCAACGCCGCGUGCGGGAUGACGGCCCUCGGGUUGUAAACCGCUUUCGCCUGUGACGAAGCGUGAGUGACGGUAAUGGGUAAAGAAGCACCGGCUAACUACGUGCCAGCAGCCGCGGUGAUACGUAGGGUGCGAGCGUUGUCCGGAUUUAUUGGGCGUAAAGGGCUCGUAGGUGGUUGAUCGCGUCGGAAGUGUAAUCUUGGGGCUUAACCCUGAGCGUGCUUUCGAUACGGGUUGACUUGAGGAAGGUAGGGGAGAAUGGAAUUCCUGGUGGAGCGGUGGAAUGCGCAGAUAUCAGGAGGAACACCAGUGGCGAAGGCGGUUCUCUGGGCCUUUCCUGACGCUGAGGAGCGAAAGCGUGGGGAGCGAACAGGCUUAGAUACCCUGGUAGUCCACGCUGUAAACGGUGGGUACUAGGUGUGGGGUCCAUUCCACGGGUUCCGUGCCGUAGCUAACGCUUUAAGUACCCCGCCUGGGGAGUACGGCCGCAAGGCUAAAACUCAAAGGAAUUGACGGGGCCCCGCACAAGCGGCGGAGCAUGCGGAUUAAUUCGAUGCAACGCGUAGAACCUUACCUGGGUUUGACAUGGAUCGGGAGUGCUCAGAGAUGGGUGUGCCUCUUUUGGGGUCGGUUCACAGGUGGUGCAUGGCUGUCGUCAGCUCGUGUCGUGAGAUGUUGGGUUAAGUCCCGCAACGAGCGCAACCCUUGUUCACUGUUGCCAGCACGUUAUGGUGGGGACUCAGUGGAGACCGCCGGGGUCAACUCGGAGGAAGGUGGGGAUGACGUCAAGUCAUCAUGCCCCUUAUGUCCAGGGCUUCACGCAUGCUACAAUGGCUGGUACAGAGAGUGGCGAGCCUGUGAGGGUGAGCGAAUCUCGGAAAGCCGGUCUCAGUUCGGAUUGGGGUCUGCAACUCGACCUCAUGAAGUCGGAGUCGCUAGUAAUCGCAGAUCAGCAACGCUGCGGUGAAUACGUUCCCGGG